GGCCUUCUUGGCGGGGGCCUUGGUCGCCGCCUUCUUGGCCGGCGUGGUCUUCGCCGGAGCCUUCUUGGCGGGGGCCU
Molecule: transfer RNA, 77 nt
Filed under: Tsukamurella tyrosinosolvens
Lineage: Bacteria; Bacillati; Actinomycetota; Actinomycetes; Mycobacteriales; Tsukamurellaceae
Description: tRNA-Gln
Source: RNAcentral